GAUGUUAUUACCAGUCGGUGUAUUCUACGCUCGAGUUUACUACCUGUAGUCAUAUUCGAUACUGCAUAAUAUAUGAGUAACGCUUCAUGUGCUACACUAAUUGUUGCAUUCCAAUGUACCUGCGGCCGGGAGGUAAUUACAUAGAAUGGUCUAAAGUGCUCCUCUGAGAAUUAUGACGAGUAUGAGCGUGAAUGCUGUCUUUAAAUGAUAUGUCGCCAGGUAAGUUCAAUGGUAAAGGAAAAGCAAAGAAAUCGAAAUGUCGCUAGUCCGAUUCUCAGGCAAAGCGAAUGUUUUUCAUGUUGAUGUGACCAGAAAAAAAAUGCAUUCUUCGUCCGAAUUCUUAUUUUCGGAAUAAUAAGGAAGUAGUGUCAAUUUCUAGCAGUGAAUAAAAUCCUACUUUUAAAUGAUUCAGCAUAAAAUUUCUAUUAUUAGUUGUAUUAUUAAAUAGAUUAUCACGUUUCCGCCUCUCUCAUCAUUUGCACGCUGCAUAAAGGUCGCUGAAAUGAUGCACAGUUUAAAUAGGUCUGGUAAAUGGCCUUGAAUUACAAUGCAAACAGAAAAACAACGCGUGAUUUAUUUGAAAUUCAACACUUAACUUUCGAAAGUCAGGAUUUAGGUUAUUCAUUAAAACAAAAUUUUCGAAAUUUUGAAAGUUCAUGUACUUUCAUCUGUAAGAAAACUAAAUCAACGUGCUUCCUCCGAGUGGGGUACGUGAAUGCGUCUCUACUGCAUUAAUCACACAAUAAUCAGCUGACUUAAUGCUUUGCCUUGCACGAGAAACAAUACCAAAUCAUAGAAAGGAACGGUUGUGUCACAUGAAAACUGAACAGCAUAUAAAACAUGUAUUUUCUCCAUGAAACAGUAGUCAGUAUAUUGAUAUACACGUUGAGUUCUGGAAAAGGACUGCAUAAAAGGGACACACUUCCUGACAGCAAGCAAGAUGAAAGUGUUUUUACAUUACGGCCCUUAUCAGAGAUGAAAUGGUGUUUACCACUCGCAGAAACCAGUGACUCCAUUGAUUCAUUUUCCCAUGGGAAACCGUUCCCAUAUUUCGGCCAUGGGAGGACGUUCCUAUGGGAAAUAUUUAAAAUCGAAGACCCGCAACUGGUUAGGCCAAUGUCAGAUUGCUACAUGACAAUUCGUCAUCGCACAAGGCGUCUAUUGUACAAGACUUUCUGAAGCAGGAAAAGGUUGUUGUGCUCCCUCACUCUCCUUAUUCGCCUGACCUUUGCCUCGUGUGACUUCUUUUUGUUCCCAAGGUUCAAAAAAUACCUUUCUGGUCGAAGAUUUGUGCAGCGCAAACAACUCGGUUCUGCAAUAUUCCAAUGUCUUCAUAGUAUACCUAGAAAAUACUAUAAAAAUGCCUUCAAGGAUUGGAUUAGAAGACUGAAACUUUGCAUAUCUAUUGGAGGUGAAUACUUCGAGGGGACCAAAUAAAAUUUUCAUUGAAAUCUAUCAAGGAUACAUAUUUGAACAAUCCUCGUAGUUACCCGUACAGUGCAGUUUACUUUGAAGUAUAAUCAUAUAUUUCCACCUGCACGAUAAUUGACUGAGGCAUUAGUCAGAACGUUUCAUCUAUACAAUUGAUCCCAGGCAAAGGGUAUUAUUGGAAAAAAGUGACAUGCAAGUUUAAAAUUCCGUACGAUAGAACACUAGAAUGAUCUAAAUAAAGUAUGGUAUAUUUUGUAAAUUGAUUAUGCUUAUUGAUCGGUUUCGAAUACAAUUUAGAUAAAGCAAUGUUUAAGUCUGAUAUUUACACUCUCAAAAAUAAGAAUCGAUAUAUAAUAUCGCUAUUUAAGGAACGAAUGUAACAGGUUUUUUCAUGUUAAAACCUCUACCUGUGUUAUACUGUAUGACCAAAACUGGGAAGUAAGUAGUAUUCUACCUGUAAGCUUGUAUUUCGAUGAACAAGCAAGCAAAUAAUAUAUUAUGUAUAUUU
Molecule: long non-coding RNA, 1939 nt
Organism: Mercenaria mercenaria
Lineage: Eukaryota; Metazoa; Mollusca; Bivalvia; Venerida; Veneridae
Exons: 3
Source: RefSeq, a predicted model, not a curated record